GAGCACAAACUUGUGCUUGGGGAAAGUUUGGAAGCUGUUCUCUAGACAUUAGCUGGUCCAACUUGCGGGAUAGUGCAUCUACUUUGUUAGAUAGACCUAUGGACUGGCUAACUUCAUAUAUGGUUCCUUUUCUUUGAGAACUCGGGGAUGCUUGACGAGUAGAGGAGGCAUGGUGGAGAGAAUUUUCAUUAAGGUUUUCAAACAAUUGCCAUGCCUCAUGUUCACUUUUAAGCAUGAAAGUACCCCCACAAGAAGCAUCAACCAUUUGAUGGUUUCGUUCAGACAGUCCGUCAUAAAAGCAUUGCACUAAUUGCCACUUGGGUAUUUGAUGAUGCGGGCAUUUCCGGAGUAAAUAUCUAAAUUUUUCUCAAGUUUCAUGAAAUUCUUCUCCGUCAGAUUGGGAGAAGCUCGUGAUAGCACGCCUAAAUUGGUUUGUUCUUCCUAUGGAAAAAUAUUUUUUUAGGAAUUCAUGUUGCAUUUGAACCCAA
RNAcentral lists this long non-coding RNA (488 nucleotides) under Phoenix dactylifera (date palm). Its description in RNAcentral is "long non-coding RNA (PDAC_LNC020568)". Lineage: Eukaryota; Viridiplantae; Streptophyta; Magnoliopsida; Arecales; Arecaceae. The record is from RNAcentral.